AUGGCCGCACCACCCUGAAUGCACCCAAUCUCAUCUGAUCUCAGAAGCUAAGCCAAGUGGAGCCUGAUUAGUACUUGGAUGGGAGGACUACAUUUCCCUGACUAUAUUUAUUUUUCAAGUCAGGCCCAUU
RNAcentral lists this ribosomal RNA (130 nucleotides) under Chinchilla lanigera (long-tailed chinchilla). Lineage: Eukaryota; Metazoa; Chordata; Mammalia; Rodentia; Chinchillidae. The record is from RNAcentral.